GAUCAUUCUACCAUUGUUAUGUUCACAAUCUAAUCUAAAUCUAUUAAUAACACAACUUAAAUGAAUAGUGAUUUGAAGUCAUGUUUAGAUGUGAAUGGACAAUUUGGGCGGUUCUUCACACGUCACCCCGCUUCUUUCCUAAUCACCUCCCCUUUUACCCCCUUUUCUCCCCCACCGCCUGCUUUGGAUCAUCCAGGACUUCCACCACUGAUUUCGAUCUCAAUAUACACAUAAAACCAGAUUACUUCCCAUAUUGAUGAUGUUUAUUCUUGAUUUGAUUUGGUUCAUGUAGCCAUGAAAUCCCACAUCACGGUACACAACUGUUUCCAAUAUCCCCAAAUUCUUAAUUAUAUCGAUGCGAUUCAUAAAUCAUAAUCUUGAUUCUGUUUGUUUCGUGCUUGAGAAUCUACACGAUGAUUCCGAUUACAAUUGUUCAACGAGCCACCACUUUUGACGAUUAUUAAUACUCUUGCCGAAACGCGAGUUGUCGGAACCCUAAUUUUCUGUCACCAGCAGGUGGAUGUGAUGGAGAGAAACGCAUGCCUACACGUUGCCAGUGGUCAUGUUCGGCCGCCUUAGGUGGCGUGUGUGUUGCGGCGUUGUCUUCUUGGGUCAGUGACUGUGAGAGUCUGAUAGAGAGAGAAAGCAGUGAUGAGAAAAUUGGGUAAAUGAUUAAGUUCGAUUUUUUCAAAAUGGCGGUCUGGUUAUUCUCAAGGUUUUGAUCGCUUUGUUCUUCACGGUGGUAAGUUACAUACAAUUUCUGAUUUAGUUUUUGUUCUUCAUGGUUUGAUUCAAGUUGUUGUUGUUUGAUUGGAAAUCAAAUUAGAUUUGUUGUUUGAUAUAUCUGUUAAUAACACAACUUAAAUGAAUAGAAUUUUGAGUCGUGGUUCGAUUUGAAUGGGCAAUUUGGGCAGUUCUUCACACGUCACCCGCUUCUUUCCCAUUUCGUGAUACCGUAUUCGUGUCACUAGGUUAAUCACGGUUCUGUGACUUAUGUUUGGCUCUGUUGGAUUAUUGUUCGAAUUUGGGAAAUGAAAUUGGGAUUACGCGCUUCUUUCCCAUUUCGUGAUACCGUAUUCGUGUCACUAGGUUAAUCACGGUUCUGUGACUUAUGUUUGGCUCUGUUGGAUUAUUGUUCGAAUUUGGGAAAUGAAAUUGGGAUUACGGUUCUGUACCGGCAAAUAGAUUGAAAACAAUCAAGUCUAUCCCUAUUUAAAUACAUGAGUCUAAACCCAUUUAAUGUGGUUCGGUUGGGUCUGACUUCGAUCUGGUAACCAAAAUGGGGACUGUUUGUAAGUUAGUCGUUGUUUUUGCAACACCCGUUGCAGCCAUUAUCAACCCAGUUAUAUUUACCGGACAUGUUGGAAUUAAAGGUAUAUGGAACUGAAAGUUAUAUUCGGCCGUUACAUCCCGAGUUCGUUUGCCGGCUAUGAUGACUUUGGUAAAAAAUAGGUAUGAUGUUGCAUAGCAAGGAUGGUGAGUGCACUGUUUGCUACUAGCAACCUGUUAUGCAGCCAUCAGAACCUCAAUACUGAUUCUGAGCCGUCAACUACAAGUCAUUAACAAACCAAAACGAGUUCCGGUUCAGUAACCAACCUCAUUAAAGUGAGUGAAUCAUCCGUAUAAACGAAUUGGUAGAAAAUGGAAAAAACGGUUUCAUAUAACUUUAAUGACUACAAUUGGCAGUCGUUGGGGUGUUGUGAUUCAGCAAACGCCAGAUUUCCUGAAUCUAAACCCAAUCAAAUAUGUUAAGAAAGAGUUUAUUCAAUAAAGUACUAAAAUAUUUUUUUUCAUCCUCACAAACUGAUCCAAUUUAGACGCAAUUCAUAUCUGAUGACUUGCUUAUGUGUGAUUAUAAUUUAGUUUUGACACUUGAAGUUAUGAAGUUUAGGUUUAAAUGAUUAAGAUUGAUAGGAUUGUUGUUGAAGUGUGGGGGUGGUGAGUGUGUGUGGGUAUUAGUAUUUGUUUAUCAAUCUGUUUUGAAAACAAUGGAUCACAUAAGUUGGCUGCGGCCGAAGAAGUCAUUGGAGAAAAGCCCCAUUGAUGAAAGCUCGGGCGAAUCCAUGUCUUCUUAUUCCGAUAGAUUCUCUGGUGAUCAGAGGAUGGAGGCGGAAUGUAUUCGGGUGAACUUGAGAUAAUCAACAAGUAAAACAACACCAUGGCCCGGGGUAAUGUAAAUCCUUUUCCAACACUUCUCAUGUUAUUGGGUGUUUCAGAGGUUAUUCGGUUUGCCAAUAUAUACAAGUGAAGGCAUUAGUGUCAUUAGCGCCACAAAGAAGACUAGGUACCAGACGCAUGAAGAAAAAAAAAACUUUUGUGAUCUAUGUUAAAACCGUACUAUAAUUCACAUCAGCAACUUUUGCGUAUAAACUUCAUUGGCAUAAGCAAAAUGUUCAUAUCGAGAACGAUUUGGUUUAGCGCGCCGCAACGCGCGCGUGGGUAUGAACCUAGUUUUAAUGAAAAAUCAGCUGUUCCACACGGUUUAGUA
Molecule: long non-coding RNA, 2488 nt
Organism: Helianthus annuus (common sunflower)
Lineage: Eukaryota; Viridiplantae; Streptophyta; Magnoliopsida; Asterales; Asteraceae
Exons: 3
Source: RefSeq, a predicted model, not a curated record